Papilio xuthus (Asian swallowtail) is the source of this 509-nucleotide long non-coding RNA. RefSeq lists it as uncharacterized. NCBI's taxonomy places the organism in Eukaryota, Metazoa, Arthropoda, Insecta, Lepidoptera, Papilionidae. The record is from RefSeq and is a predicted model, not a curated record. The transcript has 4 exons.
GCUACAACAGAAAAGAGCUACGAGUCUCUUCAUUUGAGCAACCUAGUACCACAGCUGCCCGGGUCGUCAGUUCAACACGCGAUCUACUCAUAACAAACGACUUGACUCCAAUAAGUUCAGUGUUGACUUCCUCGGUGAGGGUGAACUUCCUACGUCAGCAUCAGCAGACGAUGAACUGGGCGGAUGAGUAACAAGAGACGACCAGAAAAUAAGACGAAAGAAGAUGCCAGCGGCGGUAAAAGCAAUAAAAUUUGAUGAAAAUUACCAAGUAGCUUGAACUUGAAGUCUUCAUUCAUAGAGGCACCUCUGCGCGGGUCACCGGUUCGACACCAGAUCUAUUCAAACCACUUAAGAAGCUACAACAGAAAAGAGCUACGAGUCUCCUCAUUUGAGCAACCUAGUACCACAGCUGCCCGGGUCGUCAGUUCAACACGCGAUCUACUCGUAACAAGUGAAUAUUUACUUAUCUCCUCACUCACUACUCACUCACUCACUACUCACUCACUUAU